UUUCCUCGUUAUGAUAAAAAUUCCAAAGAAAAGAAUUCUUCAUAAAAACAAUUACUCGUCUUUUUAUAAAAAUAAAUAUGUUAAAAAAAAAGUCACUCAGUUCAGCGAGGUAAUCGACAUGCAAGCAAACUCUAAAAGAGGAGCCUGCAAUCCGGUCUGUUGAGCUUGAAUAUUAUGAAGUCAUCAUCGUGACACUUCUUCCACAAAUAAAUUAGAGUAAAAAGAAAAUUAGAAAACGUGUAAAAUUAAAAGAAAAAAAAAAGAAAUAAAAGAAAUUGCUUAAUCAAGUAAGAGCAGAUCAAGCUAUCAAACAUUAUCUUAUACGUAAAUACCAUUGAUCACAUUUUGUAUUCCAUGCGAAAUUGGUUUUUAUGAAAAUGUUUCAUGUAAAACUGAACAAUGAAACUACAAAUCCUUGAUUUAUAUUAUAACUACAUAGUAAAAACUCAUAUCAAAACAUUAAAACUACAACUUGACAAAAGAUAAUUAACUAUUAGCGAUUAUUAAGGAAAAGCAAUUAAAAUUCAAUUAGUGGUAACUCACAACAAAUCUAUAGAAGGAUUUCCAGAUCACAAAUCCAUACCACAGAAAAUGCAAUCAUGAACCAGGAAUUUCAGAGAAGGUACAUGUUAAAGCUAAGCAAAAGCACUCAAAGAAAACAUUUUCAUAGGAAGCGAUUGAACUUCGAAAGGUAUGACACAAGCCACCAUAUCAUCAUCAGAACGAUAAUCAAUUUCAUUCACAACCAUAACUAGUUGUGUCCAAAGGUGUCCUAAGAUUGAUCUGUGUCAUCAUUUGACUUAUGGCAACCAAUAAACUAAGAAAAAUGUUGCAAAAAAAAAAAAAAAAAAAAAUAUGUGCCACAAAUUAAAAACCAAAAGUAAAACUUGAAUUAAUAAACAGUAUGUGAUUCAGUUGCAACAUAAACAUAAUCACUAUUAUAAAAUCAGUCCAAGUGUUGGAAUUAAAAUAAUUGCUUCAUCAUCAUCACCAUUAGAACAAAAUAUAAAACGGCAGUUUCAUAAAUAGAAAAACAAGAAUAAAAGGUCAUUCAUCACCGAAAUCAGAAGAGGGAGCUUAGAUAUCCUCAUUAUGAUCUCAAUUUCAAAAAGGUCACUCCUGGGCUGAACAUUUGAGUCCAAUAAGUAUUAAUGGAUCGAAUCUCCUUCAGAGGUUAGGUUUGCACGAGAUUUACUUUUGGAAAAUUAUUUAAAACUACAAUAUAAGUUUAUAUUAUUACAUAAAAUUUUAAUUAUUAAAAAUAAUUAUAAAAAUCUCUUUUUAUUACUUUUUCUCUCCAAGUGUCGUAUACAUAUCUCAUCUAUCUUUUUCUUAUGUUUAAUGCUCCUCAAAGAGUAUCUACAAUCAAGGAACCUUAAUCAAGCGGUUUUUAAAUUUUGAAUUUACAAACGUAUUCUUCUCAAAUUGCUCAAUAUCAACUUUUUCAUAAAAAGAAAUCACAGCCGCCGCAUUCCACUCAUCUCCGAUCGGCACACCCCACCAACCCCGUCUCUUUGCCUUCGUCGCUGCUCCAGUGAGAAGCUCCAACUCUGAUGAAUCGAAGUUAACCUCAACAAAUCAACAACCUAUCUGACCGGUGAAAUCUAAUAAAAUUCUAAAAGUUUCUCUCAUCCGAUGAGCUUUGAAAAUACUUCGAAGCAUAGUCAUAAAUAAAAUUAUGGAAAUGACCAAUAAGAUAAGAGGUUCAAUAUGUGAAACAAAGUAAUAUCCAUGUUUUAAUAACAAAAUACAAAACAAAAAUUCAACACUGUCUAUGAAGCCUUUAACUUUAAGAAUAACUCCUAAGUAGGGACUGUGGACAAUGAAAUUUUAUGAAAUGCAAAUCCGUACAAAAUUCGGAUAAUAUUAAAUUUAAAAUAUAUUAAUCCUAAAUAAAUAGUGUGGAUUAAUAUAAUUGGAUUAAUUAGUUAAAGUCCAAACGCAUAUGGAUUUAAUUAAAGUCCAAACGCAUAUGGAUUUAAUUAAAGUCCAAACCUCAAUUGGGCUAACCUAUUAAUUUGGGCUACAAAUGACUAAGCCCACUUUAGCAAGCCCAAGAUGCCGUCAUGUUCUAAAGGCCCAAUUUGGUACCACAUGUCAAAUGAAGUGGUAUGCCAAGUCAAGUGAAGGAGUCAAUGGGACUAUGUCAUGUGUCAAAAUGAUGCAGUAAAUUAAAAGUCCAUAAGAAAUGCCAUGUCACUUAAAUAUGAUUGGUCAAAGAAAGUUUAUGUUUACAUGACUCUUUACUCCCUACAACUAUAAAUAGGGGCCUCAUAAUUCAGAAAAGGGACCAACAAGUUUAACAAGAAGCAAGAAAAAGCUCGUGGAUCAAAAAAGCAGAUUUCUCUACAAAUUCAAGAACAAGCUCAAGAUUUCAAGAUCAAGAGUUCAAGGUUCAAGAACAAGCUCAAGAUUUCAAGAUCAAGAGUUCAAGGUUCAAGAACAAGCUCAAGAUUUUAAGAUCAAGAGUUCAAGGUUCAAGAACAAGCUCAAGAUUGCAAGAUCAAGAGUUCAAGAUUCAAGAACAAGUUCAAUCUUCAAGAUCAAGACUACAAAAUUCAAGAACAAACUCAACGGCCCUUGAAUUCAAGUACAAGUCGAGAUCAAGUUCAUCAAGUCUUCAAAUCAAGUUCAAGUUCAAGAUCAAGACCACAAGAUUCAAGAACAAGCUACCAAGCCCUUGGAUUCAAGCACAAGUCAAGAUCACAUCCGUUAAGUUCAAGUUAAAGUUCAAGAUCAAGCUCGAAGCCCUUGAAUUUAUAGUUUAAAAAGGCAAAUCAGAGGAAUCAUAGAGAUUGUAACACUCACUUAUUGAAAUCAAUAAAUCGAUUGUUGCAGUAUUUUUUCUUGUCUCGAUUAUUAUUUUUUGUCUCGAGAAUUUUACUGUCCAACAAAUUCUGGCACGCCCAGUGGGACGAUUUUUACCUCUCAUCUCAACUUUUUAGACUUUGAAGAUUAAGAACGCUGAAAUGACUUCUAAGAAGAUCAACUCUCAAUCAACUGCUUCCAAGGCUGCUGAUUCAAGGUUCUCUUCUGAAGUGGAAAGCAUUCUUGGUGUUACUUUCGAAAGUUUAGGAGCUGUCACAAGGAGCAAGGUAGGCUUGCUAGGACAACAAACACAUCCAGUGUCGUUCGUGCCAAUUCCAGUUUUUGGAUCUUCAACCCCAAAAAGAGCGAAGUCCAAUACAAGUGCUUCGGAAGGAGGAAGCAGUGUCGCGGAAUCGCUUAAGAAGACUCUAGCUCUACUUGAGCAUUCUGGUUCCAAAUACUCUAGCACAAAGAGCGAUGGUCGUUCAACAAAUGCGUCAUCUCUAUUUAUACCGCAUAAGCUGAGCACAUCAAAGAUUAACUUAUGUGGCAAACCAUAUUACUCUCCAACGUCUCCAGUGAUCAUGUAAGCAAUGGUGACUGAUGCCUCGUCUAUGGAGGAGCAACUGGUGAAUCUGACAAAGGCAAUUGAGAGCCUGACCAAAUAUGUUCAGAAUCAAGAUGCUCGAAUUAAUAAGAUAGUGGAUAGGGUGGAAGGCCUGAUAGAUGGAGCAUCUAGAUAUACACUAAGAAAAGCUCUAGAGGAUCAAGAGAAAGAACAUCCUGGAAGCAAACAGCACCAACUAAAGAGGUACAAGUUUCUUCUGAGGGGAUGAUCUCGAUUGAGCAAUUGAAAAAAUUCAUUGAAGGGACCCUCAAAGACAAGUAUGAUGUUUUCACUAAGUUUUUUCUUGCGAAUGCCAAGCCCUACACUGUAAGGAUCGCUAGCCUCAAAAUUCCUGCAGGUUAUCAACCGCCCAAAUUUCAAUAAUUUGAGGGCAAAGGGAACCCGAAACAAUAUGUCGCACACUUUGUUGAGAUAUGUAAUAAUGCUGGAACUUAUGGAGACUAUCUUGUCAACCAGUUUGUUCGUUCCCUAAAGGGAAGCGCAUUUGAUUGGUAUACGAACCUUGAGCCUAACUCCAUCGAUAGUUGGGAGCAAUUGGAACAUGAGUUCGUGAAUCACUUUUAUAUCACGAGGCGUAUAGUGAUCAUGGUAGAGCUCAUAAAUACUUGACAAAAAAAGGAUGAGCCAAUCAUCGACUUCAUCAAUCGAUAGAGAAAUACGAGCCUAAAUUGCAAAGAUAGGCUCAGCAAAGCUUCUGCAAUAGAUAUGUGCAUCCAAGAAAUGCAUUGGUAGCUUCUCUAUAUCUUACAAGGCAUCAAACCAAAGUCCUUUAAAGAGUUAUCUACUCGUGAUCACGACAUGGAGUUGAGCAUGUCUUCUGCUGGAAAGAGAGGAACACCUAUCCCUGACCCUCAAAGGGGAAAGAAUAAGAAGAAACCCAAAAGAUGGGGCAAGUUUGUCCCCAAAAAUGACAAUAAGGAGUCCAUGAAUGUUGAUGUGUCUCCUGUGAAGGUCAUCACAAAGGUGAGCAAAAAGCAAAGUGUGAAGACGACCUCUGUAGCACGUCCAAAUCAGAAAACUUUAAAGGAGAUACAAGAAAAGAAAUAUCCCUUCCUUGAUUUUAAUGUUGACGAGAAUUUUAAUGAACUCCCUAAUGAAGAUGCAAUGGCUUUGGAAGUUAUAUCCCCAUGGAAGAUGUACUUUGAUGGUGCUAUACAUCGAGAUAGAACUGGUACUGGCGUAGUGUUUGUCACUCCACAAGAAGGGGUCAUCCCCUACUUUUUUACCUUGACGAAUCGUUGCUUCAAUAAUGUUGCUAAGUAUUAAGUGCUCAUACUCGGACUAGAUAUGGUUAUUGACAUGAAGCAACUAUAAUUACAAGUUUUUAGUGACUCUCAAUUGGUGAUAAAGCCGUUGUUGGGAAGCUAUGAAGUUUGAAAACCUGAGUUAAGACCAUAUCAUGAUCAUGCACAAAAGUUGAUGGGAUGGCUUAGAGAAGUAACCCUCUAACAUAUGCCAAGGAAAGAAAAUAAGCAAGCUGAUGCCCUAACUAUUUUGGCUUCAACUCUAACUUUUCCGAAUCAGACACGAGUUACUCUUUGCCAAGAAUGGGUAGUACCGCUAUCACAUGAAGAUGAAGACGUAAAAAGUAAGGUUGAAUACCUCGUCGCCAUGUUCGAAGCUAUAAAGGAGGAUUGGCGAAAACCUAUCAUUGACUACUUGUGUUAUGGGAUACUUCCAGAAGAUCCAAGGAGAAAGACUGACAUUCGUCGUCGUACACCUCACUUUCUUUAUUACAAAGACACACUGUAGCAAAGAUUAUUUGAAGGAGUACUCUUAAGGUGUUUGUGAUACGAGAAUAAUAACCACCUUAGCUUUUGACGACAUCAUUCAAAGUCACUAUGUGAAGAAUCAAGCUUUAGUCGCAUGGAGGGCACAGGAUCAUACUUGGAGGGGACAUUUUGAGCCUACCAUUAAUUAAACUCGAGUGUGAAAGAUUGCUUGGAGACUUGAAGACUUAAGUACUCUCAGGUUUGGACCACCUUAUUGGUUCACGAUUUUGGUUUCCUUGAUUGAAGGGCAUUUUGGUCUCUUAUCUUUGUCCAAGUGACACUCCAUGACCAUCCUUCCUCAUUAAGGGCAUUAGAGUCAUUUUGUAUUUAUUUUGUAAUAGAUUAUAAAUAGGCUCCUUUAGUCUUAUUUUUAUUAGUUUAUGAAAGAUGAAAUAUUGAAACAUCAAAAAUCCUCUCUCUUGAGAGUAGAACACUUAGUCUUAGUUAGGGCUUGAAAAAACUAGUAUUAAUCUUUGCUUGGAAACGGUAGAUCUUGAGGUGAGAUGAUUCCCUUGGCGAUCACCAUAAGAGUGUGAUUUUGAUUAUUACAUUCAUUAGGGGAUUUUGAGUUUAAUACACUUUUUAGUUCUUAAUCUUGUAAUAAUCUUGGUCUCACUAUCUAUCAUUUACUUUUAUUAUUGUCAUCUUGUGUAGUGGACUAUUUUGGGUCCUUUAUUGAAUUUGAAACUUGUGUUAUUGUUAUUCAUCUUGUUCCUCACGUUUUGUAGCUGUUUGUGGUGUUAUAUACACCAUUGUAUCUUGUAUUUUUCUUGUUGAUAGCGAAUCCGAGAGUGUUCUACAUCUUGGUCCUCGGAUCCUUAAGAUUGCGGACUGACUUGGAGUGUGUUUCGUGCUUCCAUUUUCUUUCUCGUAUCAUCGUGUUCCUACAAGAUCAAUCUUGGGGUUGCUUGUUAGAAAAUUCAAAAAAAGUGUUAAAAAUUGAAAAUUCUAGAAAAAUAGCAAUCUGUCUGUGUUUGUGUUCUUGGCCAAAAUUGUGUUCUUGUUGUGUCUUGGCCGAGAUUUGUUUGUUGUGUGACUAGAUCUAGUAGUGUUCUUAUUUUUUUUUUUGUUUCUAGUGUUAGUUUUCUUGUCCACUAACACUUUGAGUCUAGAUCUAAACUUGAGCUUGAACUUGUUGAAAGUUGUUGUUGUGAACAUAAACUUGGCCCAUUGUUGUUGUUCUUGUUGUUAUGGGUUUAAAGUUUGCAGUGUAGACGUUGUUGUAAUUCUUGGUGAAUGUUGUGUUGUUAUUGAAGUUCUUCACAACCUUCAUCUCUUGUUAAAAUCGAGGACACAACACUAAAGAGACUUGGUCGUUUGUUGUUGUGGAUUGGAGUUGGCCGUUGGUAUUGUUGUUGUUCUAGAAAAUUGUUGUUAUUGUUGUUGGUGUGGUUGUUGUUGUUAUUGAAGUUCUUCACCUUCCUUCAUAUAUUGUUAGAAUAUAAAGUGAAUGCUAGAUCCUAAAAGGUGAAGGAAAAAGGUGUACGUACUUGUUAGUCUUGAAAGACCCCCAACCACCAAAAGACAUAUCACUUCUCAACCAUUUUUCCAUGAUUUGACCCAUGUUUUAAGGAGAAGUACAAGAAAAAUUCAAGUGUUGAAAAUUGAAAAAGGCUCCAAGACUUAUUUUUCCUCCUAAACAAAUUCUACCAAUCCAAAUUAAUUUUUUACCAAGACUUGAACAUUUGAGAAUAACCACUUGAUAAAACCAAACCAAUACGUGGUUGCCACAUCAUCAUUGCUACUGUUCACGCAAUAUUAUUGAGCUCAAAAUUUUAUAUUCUUAGUUUUAUUUUAUUGUUUCAUUAGUUUCAUGUCUUGAUUCUAGAAUUAAUUAACAACUAGUAAUAACCUACUUAGUUGUAGAUUUAUUAUUGAAUCUGUUUCUUUCGUGUCUUCGUUAUUUGUGUGCUUUUCUCUUUUUUUAACAUGUAGUAACUUCUUUGUUUCAAGUUCAUAAGUAAAAUUUUUUUUUAGUCUUGAGUCGAUCAAACAAGAAGCUAUUCCGGCCGCCAAGUAGAAUUGACAUCUUAUUAACUACUGGAGUAUAAGCAACUUUCAAUAUUCGUCGCUCCAAUUGUGAGGAUCAUAAUUUGAGUGAAUAGGAGUGUUGGUGAGGAGCUUUUACUACUAAUUUUGUUUGUUCAUUGUGUAGGAACAAAGAUGAUAUAAGGGGAACAUGUCUUCGGUAGCGGGGAUUAUUGUGACUACAACAUGGGAGACUAUGGUUGUAGUGAAGGGUUUUAUGGCUACGAAGUUGAGGGAGAUUGUGGAGGCUAUGAAAAUAGCCAUGAUCAAAACUUGGGCAGAUUUGAAAGUUACUAUUUUGAGGGAGAAAAUAGGGUGAAUGAAGUGCCUAGUGCUUAUGGUGACUUUGGAGAUGAUGUAGGACCUCGUGAUGGAUCUUAUGAUAACGUUAGGGCAUGUGAGGAGUCUUACACUUCUUACUUCAAAUGUAGAUUUGGUGUUAGGUAUAACCCUUUCAUUCGCAAAGUUUAUAAGAGCUAUGAUGAGAGUACACGUGAGGAGUGUAAAGAUUCAUAUUCUCCACCUUGUAGUACUUCUUAUCAAGAUCGAUAUAGUGUGAAUGGUUAUACUAGCUCUAGUGGAGGUUGUUCAACGAGAAGAAGAGGGUAUGCAUCUCUAAAACCGAGGGGUGCUCGUAUCCUUUACAAUAUUGAUCCAAGAAGGAGUGUACACUUCGGAAAGGUGACCAUUUGUGGGAAACCGGGCUUCCUCAUUGUGUAAAUGAUAGGUACUAUAGAAAAUACAUCGUUCCAUCCAUGGUUGACUACUUGGGGUUAUUUUGCGAGCCUUUACUUGUUCUAUACUUCUUGGAUAGAUUUAAGGUUAUCGAGAGGGUCAAAGUUAUCUUCUCCCAAUUUGAGUACCAUAAGAAGGUGUGAUGUGAUAUUCUUCCAUUUACAUAUGGUCAUGUAUGCUUAGGUGCCGAUUGGUUUGCACAACAUAGAGUUCCAAAUGUGCAAAAUUAGCCUAAUGAUGUAAGAGAUCAAUGGGGAAAUCACCUCAUGACAUACAUGCUGUCUGAGCUGCAAAGAGAUGUGAAUACUUACUCGAAUCCGAAUACUUAUGAGGUACAAAAUAUUGAGAGGAUUAAGGCUGUUCAAGGUGGUAAUUCGAGAGUGGGAGCGAAGCGAGGGGAUUGGCACCAAACCAAGCUAACAUUGUUUGUUCUUCUAUUUCUAAGGACGUUUGUGUAGGUACCGACAUGAAAAGUGAUGGAGAGAAAUGUCAAAGUGAAGUUGCUGCCUAAGCUUAUGGAGGACCUUCAUAAUACGAAGAAGGAGAGUCGACUCAAGAACUUCAUGGUAAAAUAGCUAACUAUUACACUUUUAUGCAUGUGAAUGAAAAUUGUGUGGCUAGUAGCCCCUUGAGUGUGAGUAGUAGCUUACUUACUUGUGAGUUUAAUAAAUCUUUGCUUUUUGUUAAUGAUGUACAUGUUAUGAGUGUGGAUACACUAGUUGAUCCUAUUGAUGACCAAAUUGACUCUUCUUGUAAGAUCGAUUUAUGUCCACCUAGUGUUGAAGCCUAUAUAUUGAACGAAAGUACAUCGUCUUGUGUAAUUGGUGUUGAUCAACCUAGUUAUGAAAAUUGUCCACCACUUGAGUAUGCGUGUGAUGUGAUUAAUCAAAAUCAAGUGAGCGAAGUAUUUGAAAAAGUUGGUCAACAAAAGGGGAGUGAAACCGAGAGCUACUCUUGGGAUAAUCUUGUACUUGAAAUCUCUUUAAAAAGUAAUAUUGAGCUUUUAGAGAGUGCUGAAUGUGUUUGUUCCGAAUCUUCCCAUGAAAUAGAUUAUGCUCUCUUUAGGUAUAAUGUCUUAUUUGAAGAUGAUAUAAACACUCUUAAUGAGCCUAGUGGUGGAAAUGAAGGUAUAGCUUGCCUUGGAAGAUAUAGCCGAUAUGCUAACCCACUAUGGUGUGACAAUAUUUCUCCUAAAGAUGGAAAUCUUUUUUUUGAAAGAUGAGAGUACUCGUAUAGGUAAGAAAUGUGUAGUCCUUCUUGAAAACCUGAGGGCAAAGGUGUCAUUGACUCCUUGGAGUAAUGUUCCUUAAUGUGCUUCCUUGUUUGACAAACUUGUCCCUAAAUUGCAUGAAUUCCAACUUGUAGAUGCCAAGUUGUCUAGUUUUUUGAAGGAAAGAAUGUGUAUGUGUUUAAAUACUUAUUCUUCACCCGUGAAUUCCUUUGCAUGUGAUUCUUUCCUAUACUACCUCUUUGCCUAUGAUGAUGUCCAUGCUAGUUUUGGAUUUGUUUUAUGUCGAGGUAGGAAGUUUGUUGGUCUGUCCAUGUGUGUAUGAUAAUGCUAUAUAGAUUUUAUGGACUUUAGAACCAAUCGAAACACCCCCUUUGGUGUGGUUUUUUGAUGAGAUAAAGAAGCAAGGGUGUCUUAUGGCUCAUAAGAUGAAGUAAGUUCUACCUUGUGGAUUAUUUGAUGCCAAUAGGACCUAUGUAGUUUCUUUAUCUCUUGGUGAUUCCCAUAACCAAAUCCUUUGUGCACCUUUUAUUGAGCUUUUAAUAUUUAAUUCAAAGAAUCCUUGGAUAUAUUACAAAUAUGUUCAACCUUGGCAUGUUGAGAUGAUUUAUUGUGCUAACCCUAACCCUCAUGCCAUGAGGAGUUUGUAUUUAUUUGUCCUCUCUUUAUUUUUGCAAGGUUUGGAUUUGAGGUUGAAUUCUUUUCAAGAAGGGAAGGAUGAUACGAGAAUAAUAGCCACUUUAGCUUUCGAUGACAUCAUUCAAAGUCACUAUGUAAAGAAUCAAGCUUUGGUCGCAUGGAGGGCACAUGAUCAUACUUGGAGGGGGCGUUUUGAGCCUACCAUUAAUCAAAUCUGAGUGUGAAGAUUGCUUGGAGACUUGAAGACUUAAUUACUCUUGGGUUUGGACCACUUUGUUGGUUCACCGUUUUGAUUCCUUGAUUGAAGGGCAUUUUGGUCACUUAUCUUUGUCCAAGUGAUACUCCAUGACCAUCCCUCCUCAUUAAGGGCAUUGGAAUCAUUUUGUGUUCAUUUUGUAAUUGAUUAUAAAUAGGCUCUUUUAGUCUUAUUUUCAUUAGUUUAUGAAAGAUAAAAGAUUGAAAUAUUAAAAAUCCUCUCUCUUGAGAGUAGAACACUUAGUCUUAGUUAGGGCUUGGAAAAGCUAGUAUUGAUCUUUGCUUGGAAGCGAUGGAUCUUGAGGUGAGUUGAUUCCCUUGGCGAUCACCGUAAUAGUGUGGUUUUGAUUAUUACAUUCAUUAGGGGUUUUUGAGUUUAAUACACUCUUUAGUUCUUAAUCUUGUAAUAAUCUUGGUUUCACUAUCUAUCCUUUACUUUUAUUGUUGUCAUCUUGUGUAGUGGACUAUUUUGGGUCUUUUAUUGAAUCUGAAACUUGUGUUAUUGUUAUUCAUCUUGUUCCUCAUAUUUUGUUGCUGUUUUGGUGUUAUAUACACCAUUGUAUAUUGUAUUCUUCUUGUUGAUAGCGAAUCCGAGAGUUGUCUCCAUCUUGGUCCUUGGAUCCUUAAGAUUGCGGAUUGAUUUAGAGUGUGUUUCAUGCUUCCGCUGUCUUUCUCGUAUCAGUUUGGGAGAGAAAGAAGCAAUUCAAGCUUUGCAACAAGUGCACUCGGGAGUUUGUGGAUCACAUCAGUCUGGACCCAAGCUCAAUUUUCACAUUAAGAGGAUAGGAUAUGAUUGGCCAACGAUGGUGAAAGAUUGCUUGGACUAUGCUAGAAGAUGCAAAGCUUGCCGAUUCCAUGCAAAUUUCAUAUAUCAACCUCCAGAGGUACUACACCUAACUGUAGCAUCUUAGCUAUUCAAUGCAUGGGGAAUGGAUGUUGUUGGUCCAUUACCAAAAUCUUCUGGUGGACACUUAUACAUGUUGGCCGCGAUAGAUUACUUCUCAAAAUUUGUUGAAACUGUUUCUCUCAAGGAAGUAAAGAAACAAAAUGUCGCAAACUUUAUACGAGUGAAUAUCAUCUACCGCUUUGGAAUUCCUCAGUACAUAAUAACUGGCAAUGAAAAUCCAUUUGAUAACAAGUUAAUGAAUAAAAUCUGUAAUCUUUUUGGUUUCAAGCAGCGCAAGUCUUCUAUGUACUAUGAUGCCGCCAAUGGUCUAGUGGAAGCAUUCAAUAAGACUUUAUGCAACUUGCUGAAGAAAGUCAUCUCCAAAUCAAAUGAGACUGGCAUAAGCAAAUAGAAGAAGUUUUAUGGGCAUAUAGGACAACUUAUCGUACACCGACGUAAGCAACCCCAUACUCACUUGCUUUUGGAGUUGAAGCAGUCCUGCCACUUGAGCGUAAAAUACCUUCUUUGAGACUGGUUGUUCAAGAAGGGUUCACCGAUGAAGAAAAUGCUAAGUUGCGUCUUACAGAGUUAGAAGCUCUUGAUGAAAAGAUGCUGGAGGCUCAACAAAAUCUUGAAUGUUAUCAAUCCCGGCUUUCUCAUUCUUUCAACAAAAAGGUUCGCUUGAGGUGUUUCUAAGUUGGAGAUCAAGUCCUUACAGUAAGAAGACCCAUUAUCACUUCUAUAAGUCUGGGGGCAAAUUCACUCUGAAGUAGAAUGGACCAUACGUCGUACAAGAGACAUAUUCAAAUGGUGCUUACAAGCUUGUUGAUGCAGAUGGCGUGAGGAUUGGUCCCAUCAAUGCCAAGUCUUGAAGAAAUACUAUCCUUGAAGGAAGAUGACAAUCCUUAAGGCAUUAAACCACAUUGAGAUUUUUGUUUUGAGAAUUUAUGUGCUACAUGCACCCAUGUUUAGACUAUAAGGGUCAUUAACCCACAUUGAGAUUGUUGUUUUAAAAAUUUAUGUGCUACAUGCACCCAUGUUUAGACUAUUUUUGAUGCAGUAUAGAAAGAUUUGACCUUUUGGUCACAACAAAGUUAAAAUCCACUUUAUGAAAUGAGUUCCGAAUUUUAUCAUUUAUUUAACUUAAGAAAUAUGAGAUUACCCUUAAAGUGGAUUUUUCUUGAGAUUUUUUAGCAUAGUAUUGGGAGUAGUAUUUAGCACCGAGUUGGGUAUGUUACUGCGAUUUCAUACCCUAGAACUAUAUGCCACCGUAGGUUGAGACAUUGACUUCCACUAUAUGUGGAAAAUUGAGAUAGUGAUCACUGAGAUGAGAUUAUUCUACACCGAUUGCAAGAUUAGGACAGCCCUAACCUUAUGGGGGAAAGUCGUGGGACAUCAUGGGUGCUCACAUGGUGUACAUGUCGGUUAGAAGAACCUCCCAAAGAGUCGUCUCUCAUUCUUAGAUUGAUUUUACUGAUUUAAAAGAGAUAAGAAAUGGAGAUUUAUGAUGUAUUCAAUAUUCCAGAUUUUACUAAGAUUGCGUGAUGAGAAAAUAAGAAAAGAAUCUUGAUAUUUGGAUUAAGUGUAAUGGCUCAUGAUAUCCAGAUUGGCAUGUUUUACCAUUCAUUGUGUAUGAUAGAUUUUAGAAGAUUUCUUUCAANNNNNNNNNNNNNNNNNNNNNNNNNNNNNNNNNNNNNNNNNNNNNNNNNNNNNNNNNNNNNNNUAUAUAUAUAUAUAUAUAUGCAUAUAAAUAUGUUUAUUUCAUGCACCCCUAUGUACUCGGUACAUAUUCCAUGGUACUGACCCACAUGUUCGCAUGUGGGCUACAUUUUUCUUAUAAUGUAGGUUCAGGUGCUCAUUCUCAGGUUUGACCGUCAUUAUCCAAGAACGCUGAUCUACAUCCUCUGCAGUGGCAAGUCCUCAUGGUCCUAGGACUAGUUAUUCAAAUUUUCUCAUUUACUUUGAGUCGUUCAGUUUAUUUCCUGAGUUUGGGUCAGUUGGGGUUUGUCCCAAUGGCUCAUGGAUAUACAGUUUAGUAGAGGCUUAUCAAACUAGAUGAAUAGAUUUAUCAGAUUUAUCAGAGAUGUCGUAUUUUAUUACUUUCCAUAUUUCAUUCGUAUUGCAAUAUGAUAUUAUAGAGGAUGUUUAGAUGUUUUGAUUAUGAUGACUUUGAUUAUAAGUGUUGAAUGGUAGAAAAAUGAAUAAAAGGGUUAGCUUGGGGCUACUUGUAGCCUUAAGCACCGUGUGAUGCCUCGGGGCCCAUUUUUGGGGCGUUAUAAAGGGAUUUUAAGUUAUUGAUGAAAAAUAAAACUUUUAGUUGUAUUAUAUUCGAGAAUGGGUUUACAAUUUUGAGUUUUGAUGGUAAAAUCGUAGAAAGAACUUGAGAAAUUCCUAGUUUCCGUUGCAGUAUUCCGUUGACUAUCAUGUUGUGGUAUUAUUGGAUGGUGUUUGUGGUGGUGGUGGUGGUAUUUGUGGUCGUCGUGGUGGCACUGGUGGUGGCAUUGGUUGGUGGCGUUUGUGGUGGCUGUCGGUGGUGUCGUAUUCGUGGUGUUUGUUUGUUUGUUGGCAUUAGUUGGUGGUAUUUGUGGUGGUGGUUGUUGGUAUGUCGGUAUUCGUGGUAUUUGUAAUGUAUUUUUUAAAAUCUAUGCAUACAUCAAUAGUAAUGUAAUUUUUGUUUUUCUUUGUCUGUAGGUAAAACAUGUCUCUCAAAAGAAAAGAAAGUCAAAGUGGAUCAACGUCUGACCACUAAAUAAAAGGCUACAGUACAGAGGUAUUCAAAGGAGCUUCCUGAACAAUCUCAGUCAGGGAAAAGUGAAGCUGAGGAGAGAUGAAAACAACAUUGAAGGAGGUGGACAAGGGUCCGUAGAUGGUGAUAAAGAAAAUGAAAGUGAGAAAGAGAAGGAAUUGGAGAGUGAGAAAGAAAAAGAGGAUAAUUAUCAACAUGAUGAUAAUGGAUCACCGAGCAAAGAGCAACACCAAUAUUAAGGAAGCUGAUCUUUUUAACCCUCAAGAUGAUGCAAUACGUCUUCUUCAAGUAAAAUAAUUCUACUCAAAGAUAAGAAAGAUAUUGAACAAAUGUUAUAUCUGGUGCAACAGAUAUUAUAUCUGAUGCACCAGAUUGGACAUAUGUUGCAAUAGGGUAUAUCUUGCAUCAGAUUACCCAUCUGUUUCUUUAAUUCUCUGAAUCCGACUCUUAAAAGAUUUACCAUUUACUACAAAUUAUGCAACAGAUGUUUAAUCUGAUAACAUAUUGUUCAUCUAUUGCGACAUACAGAUCAUCUAUUGCAUAAUUGAUUACCCGUCCUGUACACCUGUUGCAACAUAUGAUUGAUAUUUUGCAUCAUAUUAUCCAUGUGUUGCUCUGUUUCUCUGAACCAGACUCAAAUGGAUUUUAACCAUAUACUGCAAACUAUGCAACAGAUGGGUGAUGACUUUUUAUAUUACUCUAGGUCAUGUUGAUACUAUUGCAGACCCAACGGUGGAGUUAAUAAAGAAGGAAUUGGCUGGAGCAACAACCCUAAGAAGAGCAGUUAGGCAAGGUCGGCCUAAUGUUGAGGCUCUUCAUGACCAACCUUUUACUAAGACAGAUUCGGGUGCUUCUUCUGGUGGAGUUGUUGGUGUUGGUGGCAGGCAUGCUGAUGCUACUACCACUCAUGAUGAUGAGCAUGUUGAUGCUCAAGAAAGAAUAAAUAUGUUUGAAAAUAUCCCUUUUUGCCCUUACACAGGUCCCUAUCACCCCUCUUCAGCCUCGUGUUCUCAUUAUAAAUGCGAUGAGUACAAGGACAGACAGGAUAAAAUCUUUGAAAAAAUAGAGACUAUCUCUAAAUCUAUCGAGAAAUUCAAAUCCAAGAGGUGUGUUAUACCAUCCAAGAAGGUGAGGGAGCCACACACUCAUACAACGUUGGUUAGGAGAAAAAAAAGAGCAAUUAGAGACGUACUCACCGCUCAAAAAUAAAAAAAUUGCAAUUUCUCCCUCUCCAAAAGCUGUUGAAGUUCAGGGUCCAGUCAAGAAGGUAGACAUAUACACUAAACUUGGUACCGAAGAGAAGAGGGAGCUGCGACAGGCCAAGCAUACCAAGCCAGGCGCGCCAGAUUACCCCAGACCUCCCUUUUCCCCCAAGACUUCCAGACUAUGACUGAUAUGCGUAUGCCGUAAGAGGAUAAGGCAAGUUUACUUUUCCUAACCUAGCCCUUCUAAUCUACCCCAUGAAUAAAAAGCUACGUAAUAGAUUUCACAUCUGUUGCAACAGUUGGGUAUACUGGUGCAACUGGUAGUGGUUCUGUUGCAACUUAUUAUCCAUCUAUUGUAUAAGUUUUGGAUUAUUGAUUCAGAGAACCCUAUGAAACAGAUGGACCAUCUGUUGUAUCUUUACAAUUACUAACCUAUUUAAAAAUUAACUUCUUAUCUCACAACAUGUUGACGUAAUUCUCUACCUCAUGAGGAAAAGGCAAUAAACUACAGGGAAGCUUAUAACGUUGCCGAUAGGAUAAUGGACCUCGACUUCUGCAAGAAGCUUAAGGAUAGGUACGAUCAAAUCAAUGAAGAGGCGUCAUCCCUUGGUGUGGGACUUGAUUUCCUAGUUCCUACGUUGGUCUUGGAUGAAGAAGAAACGUUAAGAUAUGUUAGAGGGGACAGGCUAAAUCCACACGGCAAGAGCUGGACCGAGGCAAAAAGGAUUCUUCCAGUCAUUAGCAUGAACGGCAUGCAUUAUAGGGCUAUUGAGAUACUACUCGAGGAGGAAAAGAUCAAUGUUUAUGACACCAACAUACCUCUCAUCGAUGAUUUCGAUCUUUUUCUCCUCGUGGAGCCACUGAUGGUGCUGUUGACCAUCUUGUUGAGAGAGAGUAAGCUGAUGAAUCGUUUUCCAAAGGAAGUGUUGAUGAAGAAAUCAUGGGAUUUUGAAGGUCAAAACAAGGGAAUGAUCCUUCCAAAAGAUGAUGCCGCUAAAGCAAACGGUUCACACGCUCUUGCACACAUCGAAUGUUUGCUGACCGACACAGAAAUGACCGAGCCAACAACUUUUCUGUGCGAUAAUAUUGUGGCAAACCUGCAAGAGGUCAGGUCUUAUGGGGUACUAACUGGACGCUUGAAGCCUGUGUAUAUAGAAGAGCCUGUGAAAUAGAAAUUUUUAAUUUCAAGUCACCCUUCACUUUAUUACAUGUACAUGUAGUGGCAACAAUUUUUUUGAUGAAAUUUGAGUUUUUUAUAUGCAAUGGAUUAGAUUGUCAAUCUGUUGUACAAUAUCUUUAAUCCGUUCUGGCAUAUAGUUUAUCUGUUGCAAUAGGUUGGUCAUCUGUUGCAUUACGGUGAUGUUAUUUCUAUGAAUAAUCUAAUAAUCUAAGUCUAAUCUGUUGCAACAGUGGAAAGACCUGUUUGAUAAUUUAUAACAGAUGAGCUAAAUUUUACAACAUAUGCCUAAAUCUUUUUGAUUUUUUCAGCAGUUACGCUUGAAUAUCCAUGUGCUCGACAACACCAAACCAGUAGCAAAUAUACACACCACCAUGAAAAUUUCAGCAAUUAGACUUAAAUAUCCAUGUGCCCAACAACACCAAACUAGUAGCAAUAAUGGCAAUAAUGUAGUAUCUUCUUGUUCAAUUUUGCUUCUCUUCAAAAGCCUUGAAUUUGUUCAACAAACCCCAGAUUAUACGAUUUGCUUGUGAAGGCUGUCAUUCUUCAUACCAAUCAAAUUAAUCACAUCCAUCCAAUUUCUAUAAAAAAGUGAACAUAAUUACAAAAUAAUUAAUCAAUUAAUUAAAUAAAAAAAUAUUACCUUUGAAAUCUUACAAGUAAAAAACCUAUGAUCCGAAUUUUGUUGAGUCCAAGAAGUCUUUAAUAGAGCUUCAUGUCCGCACUUACAAUAUCAAAAAUCUUUAUCACAAAAAACAGUGGAAGAUGCUCUCGACAUUGUCAAGCUCAGUUGAAAAAAAGGAAAGAAAUAAUUUGAAUAGAUAAACGAAGAUGAAGAUGAAGAAGAAGAUUUGAAAAUUUAGGGUUAAAUUUUUGGAGGAAGAUGAAUAUAUAAGACAAUGGGGGAAAAAAAUGACCAUUGGGGGCCAAGUGACGGAAAGUCAGCGAAAUGUACCAGACUGACACUAACACAUUUGAUGUCUAUUUUAUUUUACAUAUUUAAAAUGAACACUGUCUACUAGAUGCCUAUCUUAUUUUAGGUGUUUGAACUGAACAUCAUUGAUGGGUUGCGCCUUUUUUAUUUCAAUUCAAUUCACUUUAACCUUUUUACACGUAGUGAUAAUUUUUUAUGUCCAACGAAAGUUGAAUUUUUAUAAUGCAAUAGAUUCUCCAUCCGUUGUAACAGUUAUCCUACCUGUUCUGACAUAUAGUUUAUCUGUUGUAAUAGGUUGGCCAUCUGUUGCAUUAUCUCGAUUUUUAUCUAAAGUCCAUCUAUUGCAAUAGUGGGAAGACCUGUUUGAUAAAUUCCACCAGAUCAACUACCUGUUGCAAUAUAUGUCUAAAUCUGUUUGAUUUUUCCAAUAGAUGUGUCUUCUAUUGCAACAAAUACAUUAUCUGUUGCAAUAUUUGAAUCUAGUGCUCCUUUUCAAUUAAUAAGUUCAAAUCUAAGAAAUAAAUAAAAUUUGUAGACAAAAUAAAAUAAAUCAAAGCCUUCAUAAAUUAGCUGAAAUAAGUCGACGAAUAAAUGAAAUGUAAAAAAAUUAUUAUGGGUAUAGAUCUCAAUAAAUACAUCAACAACAAUUUAAGUAUAAUGUCAAGGAUUGCUUUGAAUUGACAAGCUCAAGCUAUAAGGAUCUACUCAGUAUGGACAAGUUGUUCUUCAUUCGGUGCUAUGGAAUUCGACUUUGCUCGUCGUGUAUUUUUAUUGUUGCUUAUGUACGGUUUCUGCACUUUCUGUUCUCCGCAUUUCCAUAAAAAGAGUAGCAUAUUAUCAAUGUUGUUCAGUAGUAGCUUCUUCUAUAUUCACCUGGAAAGCCAGAAUUGGUCAAUGCUAAUCACGGAGAUACAACAAAAUGAAAAAGGAUAACUCAUCUCUUCUAGUAAAUCAAACAGGUCUUUCUCCCAUUUUAAAUUAUCCCAAACAGAUUAUAUUUCUGUUGCAACAAUGAAUCAACUGUUGGGAUAAAUUUUUACAUGAGAAAGAUCCUGUGUGAUAAUUUCCAAUGGAUGAACCAUCCAUUACAACAUAUAAAUCAUCUAUAGUAGCAUAUAGGUCAUCUGUUGGUACAAAUAAAAGCGGUAUGAAGAACUGUUUGAUUUUCUAAACAGAAGAGACAUAUGUUACACCAGAUAAAGUAUCUUGUGUAACAGGUUAGUCAACUGUUGCAACAGAUGUAUAUAUCUGUUUGAUAAUUUUUAGCAGAUAUGUCAUCUAUUGAAACAGAUAUGUGUCUGUUUGUUUUGUCAGUUGGAAGACAUAUAACAUACUCACCUUCUUCAGCUCGUGCUGCUCUCCUUUGGAUAUUGUACGUUACUUAGUGCAACACACAGACAGAGUAGUUAUAAUUUUGCUUUUUUGGAUGCUUGAUAAUACCCUGGAAAUCACUCUCCUUCUCUCUUAGCCCUAAUCUCUAAUGGAGCGGAUGGAAAUAAAAUCCUCUUUGAUAGAAUGAGACCUCUCUUAGAUGUCAAUUCCUUUAUAGAAGUAGUUAAUGCAUUAAUAGCAUUAAUCACUACAUCAUGUUUCGCCCUCCAGUCUUGACAUUUGCAUGCAGAACAUUCGCUGGGAGAGGCAAAAUCUGUAUAACCAGUAUGAUCAUACUCAUAAUGAUUUGCUUUAAAUACUGUAAGAGGAGCAUCAUUAGCACCAACAGCAGCACCACUACCACCACCAACAACUCCAUCACCACUAAGACCAUCAACAACAACAACAAGCCCACCUUUUAAAAUUAUUUUUCUUAUAAUGGCUGUUGCUCCAAAUAAUUCUAUUUUUAUUCUGUCGAUGAUCUUAGGGUUCGAUAAGUUUGUACAGACCGUAAAGUAAGAAAAAAUAGCAUAUUCAACUCUCGAUUGGUUGGAACUAGCGACGGAUGCACAAUCUAACAUAAAUCAUGACAUAUAUUAGAAUGAUGAUUAGAUCAAUCAAAAUAAAUCAUUAAUUAAAAGAAAAAAUUAAUUAUAAUUAUAUUUACUGCAUUCUUCGAGGGGUUGAAGAGAUCAAGAAAUUUUGCACUUUUAUCAGUUUUGGCUGACAACCAUCUCAAGAUUCUUGGACAGGAAACUCCUUCCUGGUAGUUCACUUGUUGUCUUAAUAAGGAAUGGCUUCAAACGCCCAAGCAUAUAAAAUAAUGCCAAUAAAUCAAAACCAUUAUUGAGCCAAAAAAAUGAAUGAUAUCAUAAUAGAAGAAAGAAACAUUUACCAUGAAGUCCAUGGAAAAUCAUAUAAGUUGACUGUCUUUGGCGCUAACGAAGUCAACAAAUAUUUGACAGUCAUUUUGAAGCUUUCAUACCCCCAAGGAUAGCUGUUAAACGCCUUAAGAUCCUCGGAGAGCUUUAUUAAACCGAGGCUUAUGUUGUUGUUAACGUCUCUCGCCCAAAGAAUAUUAUGUACAAACCAAACCAAGCACAAUGAUUGCUUGUGCUUCUUUGAAAGUCCUUUACCUUUCAACGCUUCUAUCAAAUUUUUAUUUUUGAAGCUUGGACCAACAAUGGACACCAGGUUAUAACGAUCACACGACUUGCCUUUGCCUUUUUGGGGUGUGCGGGGUGCUUUUUUAGGUUAGAAUAGGUAUAACUUGAGAAGGAGGAUAAUAUUUUAGUCCAGUAACUAUGGCAAACUCUUUCCAACUAAAAUAAAUAGGCAUGCCACAGUAAUUUAUCCACACCUCAUCUAUCUUAUCUUUAUUUUCAUAGAUAAACCUAUGCUUGAGAAGUUCAUAUACCAUUUUCAUUUAGAAACAAGCAUUGUUGUCCUCUGGCAAAUCAAGAUAUUUCUCAAAGUAGCUGUGCCUGAAAUAAGCAUCUAAUUUUUAUUCUCAAAGUAUUUUUCUAAAGGCGUUGAAAGAUUUUCCCAUGAAUAACUUCCACGAAAUUACCCGUUAAAUCUGCGGCAUCAUCACACUGCAUUCUCACAGGAUAAUGAUCAAUGUUGAAGGCUUUGACCAGCUCUUCGAUGGAAGGGCUAUUAUCAUCUGCAUCAUCUCUUCUAAAAUAUUUCUCCUCCCCAUGUUCAUCAUAUUCUGCUCUCGAUUGAGAUAACGCUUGUAAAGCAAGCUCAUAGAGUGGUGGAUGUAGCCUAGCUGUUUCACUUGUUCCUUUACUUGGACUUGAUUCGAUUUCUGUUCUUUUGGGAAUCAUAUUAUCUAAAAUUAACAGGAACAUAAAAUAAUAUAUUAUUGUUGAUUAAUGCAUCAUUAAAAAAGGAUAACAGUAAAUCAAACAAGCAAAAUAGUAAAAUGACAGCUUUAACAGAUUAUCGAUCUAUUGCACUAGGUAGUAUAUCUGUUGCAGCAUAUAACCAAACUGUUGCAACGGAUGAGUAAUCUGUUACAACAAUAAAAACAUAUCACUCAUAUUUUAAGACAGAUGAAUGGUCUGUUCAACAGAUCACACAACUGUUGUGACAUCAUCUGUUGUAAUAAAUGAGUGAUCUGUUGGAAUAGUUAAAUAAUCCAUAGCAACGGCUGAGUAAUCUAUUGCGAUAAUACAAACAUAUCAUUCAUCUGUUCAGAAAGAUGAAUGGUUUAUGCAACAGAUCACACAUCUGUUGCAACAUAUGAAUGAUCUGUCAGAGCAGUUAACUAACCUGUAGCAAUGACUGAGUAAUCUGUUGCGACAAUACAAAACAUAUCACUCAUUUGUUGAGAAAGAUGAAUGGUCUGUGUAACAGGUCACACAUCUGUUGCAACACAUGAGUGAUCUGUUGGAACAGUUAUCAACAGUCAAUAUUGCUUAGUUUUCUUCCAACAUAGGGUCGUCUAUCAUGGCAGAUGAAUGAUCAGUUGAAAAAAUCAAGUCUUGGACAUUUCCUGUAGGAAGAGUUGAUAGGAUUUUAUCCAACAGAAGGUUCAUCUAUUGCAUCAGAUUAUUAAUCUGAUGGUUCUUCCAUUGCACCAGAUGAUUAAUUAGUUGCAUCAGAUUUUUUAUCCUAUGCUUAAUUUUUUGCAAUAUAUGGUAAAGCUCUUGCAUCAGAUAGUUAAUAUGUUGCAUCAGAUUAUUAAUCUGUUGCAUCAGAAUUAUAAUUUGAUUAUUCCUCGGUGCAUCAAAUGGUUGAUCUGUUGCAUCAUAUGAUAAAUCUGUUGCACCAGAUGUUUAAUAUGUUGCACCAAAUGAGUAAUCUGUCGGAGGAAAUAAAAAACAGUAGCACGAUUUUGUUCAACAAAAAAUAUCAAUUUCACCAUUUUUACUAAGAACAAGAACAGAACAAAUCAAACCAAAUUGUCGUUUUAUCUUAAUAAACACAAACAAUAAAAAUCAAACUUCAAAAAAAUGCAACAAACAACAAAAUAUCAUAAUUCUCUUCGAAAAGAAAAGAGAAGAAAUACUAGAAAUUAGAGUUUUAUUCAGACCGCAUUUCAAAUUAGUGCAACAAAUAUUAAAAUUGUUAACCAAUACUAUAAGAGAAGUUGGCUCAAGUUCCUUGUUUUCUUCAAAACUAAAAAGGCCAUAAAUUUUUACCUGUGAAAGAAGAAAAGGAACGAUGAAGAAUUCGAAGCUGUUGUGGCCGGAGAGCAAGUCUGUCACGUCGAUUGAAGGUUGAAGUCGAAAAGGAACUCGAAGCCCAACUAUUUGUAGUCGGAUGUUAAAGUCGCCGAGGAUUGAAAUGAGAAAUUUGCAGAACAGUUGGUUGGGAAAGAAUUGAGAGAAGCUGCCAAGAGAGGAAUGAAAGACAGGUUGAUUGAAUAGAAGAGAGGAACUCGAAGCCCAACUAUUUAUUGUCGGAGGUAGAAGUCGUCGGGGGUUGAAGGGAGAAAUUUUGCAAAACUGUUGGUUGGGAGAGAGUUGAGAGAAGCUGUCGAGAGAGAGGGGAGAGUGGUUGAUUUGGAUUGAAGAGGGGAGUUGGGUUGAUUUGUAUUUUUGAAAAGAUUAGAAAUUUUUAAAAAUAUUAAUCAAGUCCACAAUUAACUUAAUUAAGUUUCCUAAUGAUGUUUGACCCUAUCUGUUGGUCAAUGUCACCAAUCCUUCAUUCAAGACUUAAAAGACACUUUUCCUUCAAUUUUCUCCACUUACUCUAUCUCAAAUGUCCAUUUUCUUUCUAAUUUUAAAAAGUGUUUUUUCUUUUUUGCUUUGCUAUUUAAAAAAGAAAAAAAAACUUUUUAGUUGUUUUUUAUUUAAAUUUUUUUUAUUUUCUAAUAGUUUCACUUCUUUAGUGAAAGAAAAAUAUUUAUGUUGUUUUAUUUUUUUAAUUUAUAUUUUUAUUUAUUAAGGUGGGAACGUAUUAUAAUCAAAUAAGUAUCAAUAUCGAUACAUUACAUAAUUAUUUAUAUAACAUCGAUACACAAUUAUACACCAUUUGUAUAAUGUACCUAUUUAUGCAACAUCGAUAUAAGUUUAUACAUGCAUGUUUAUACAUACAUGUUUAUAUAGUAAUUAUACAAUAUUUAUACAGGUUUAUACAUCAUUUAAACAGAGUAGAUAUUACAUAACUAUUUGUACAUCGUCGACACUUGUUUACACACAUUUAUAUAAUAUUGAUAUAUUAAAUAUAUGCUACAUAACUAUUUGUACAUCAUAUAUACAUGUUUAUACAUCAUGUAUACAAUAUUGUUACACGUUUAUACUAUUAUACAAUAUCGAUACACUACAUAUAAACUAUGUUAACUAUUUAUAUAAUAUUGAUAUAUUAUAUAUUAACUACAUUAACAAUUUAUACAAUAUCAAUACACUACAUAUAUAGUACAUAACGAUUAGUACAUUAUAUAUACAUAUUUAUACACCAUUUAUAUAAUAUUAAUACAUGAAAAAAUUGCAUGAAAAGCCCUUUUAAAAGAAAAGUGAAAAAGUUUUCCUUUCAAUGAAAAAAAUGAAGCAAAAAAAGUAACAAAAAAAUUAUUUUUUUCUUUUUUUAAUUUACUGCUGAAAAUAAUAGAAAAAGGAUGAAAAUGGUCUAAUGGCCAUUUUAAGUAAUAUACAAAACUUGGUUAUAUUUAUUGUAAAUUUUUUAUUUUUUAAAUAUAAAUGAAAUUUUUUCUUUAAAUAUGUACGCAGAUAUAUAACUUAUUAAAUUUAAUGAAAUAAACUUAAUCAAAUAUUUUUAAAUUUUACAAAGCUAAUAUUAUGUUCAUACGUUUUUAAAAGAUUUUUAAAAAUUCGCCAGCUUCAUCAAGUUCUCGUGCAAAUUCAAUAUUUUCCAUGAAAGGUUUGAUAUACUAUUGCACAAGAGUUGUUACAUAUACUUUUAUAAACAAGAACUAGUAGAACUAUCCGUUCUUUGCGCGGUUAAAAAUAUCUUAUUCAAUUCAUGAAAUGAUCCUCUUUAAAAUAUUUGAGCACUUGUAAUAUAACUAGAGGAACAUGGCCCGUGUAGUACAGGCCUAACAUUAAGAUAUUUAUUUCUCUUUUCAAUCUUGAUAUAUUUAAAUAAAAUUUUUUAAUAACAGGAUUGCAUAUGUUUUCUAGGAUUCAUCCGGAAUCUAGCAUUAAUUCAACAUAUCUUAUUUUAAUAUUAUUUAGAUAAUUUAAGUUGUUAAAUAUUGUAAUUUAUAAUAUUUUUUAUGUAAUUUUCAAAUUAAUAUACGUUACUUUUCUUGUCCAAAUUUUGCAGCAUUGAUAGACAAUUAUAUUUUAAAAAUAAUUUAAGUUUUUAAUUAUUUUGAUUUAUGAUACUUUCUUCUAUUUCAAUUUUAGUGACACUAAUAUAAUUUCAAGAGUCGACCAAAUAUUUUAUAUCUUUCAAAAAUUUUAAAUUGUUAAUUAUUGUGAUUUCUAGUAUUUUUCAUGUGAAACAUAUAACAUAUUAAAUUAUUUUUAGAUAUUUUAAGUUGUAAACUAUUAUAAUUUAUAAUACUUUUUAUGUAAUUUUUGAAUAAUAUAUUUUACUCUCCUUGUCCAGAGUUUUGUGUCAAUGAUAGCCAAUUAUAUUUUUUAAAUAAUUUAAAUUUUUUAUCAUUGUGAUUUGUAAUAUUUUUUCUAUUUCAACUUAUGUGGCACAAUGCUUAAAUGACCAUAAUAAUUAAUUAGGAGUGAUAUAAUAAAAUAUAAUUAUUAUUAUUUAUUAUUUAUUACUUUUAUUAUGUGUAUGUGUUGAUUCAAGUAGAAUUUGGAAACAUUUAGAAAUAUGUUGAAUGUUACAAAUGUUAAUAAUCCAUUUGGUGCUUCUUGAUUUCUCUACAUUUAUUUCUUGUGUGUUUUUACUCUUUUGUUCUUUGAGUAAAUGUAGUAAUUUUUUUAAAAAUAUCAUGAAAUUUUUUAUUAUUAGUUUUUCAAUACAAAAGUGACUUAUAAUAAUUAAUUGCGGGUGAUACAUUAAAAUCACGAUUGAAGCAGCAAAAAUCAGUCAAUUUUUUAAAAUUAUUUUGUUAAUUAUUGUUAUUUACAGUACUUUUUAUUUUAUUUUCAAAUAAUAUAUGUUGCUCUAUAUCUUCUUCUAUCUAGUCCCAAUUUAUGUGGCACUAGUAUAAUUUUGAUAGUCAAUCAAAUAUUUUAUGUUGACAUAUAAUUUUGUUAUUUUAUUUUUUAAUAUAUAAAUGACUUAUAAUAAGGAGUGAUAUAAUAAAAUCAUCGUUCGAAAGACAAAAUUUUAAUUUAAAACAUUAAGAGUUAAUUUCGCAUUUUAUGUCUAUUUUAUUUUUCAUUAAAUAUUAUUUAUUUUUUUAAUACCUAAUUGACUCAUAAUAAUUAAUUAAGAGCGAUUAAUUAUGUUAUUACUAUAAAAAUUAAUAUAAUUUUAUUAUAUCCAAUAGUAAUCUUCGAUAAUUCACUAAAAUAAUAUAUUAAUUAAAUACGAGAUGCUAUAUUUGCAUAUGCAAACUUUAAAAAUUUAAAGUUAAGUUUAAAUAUUAGUAUUUCUAUAUAAGAAAAAAAUUAAUUAAAAUAAAUAAAUAAAUAAAUAAAAAGAUUACUUUUCUAUAUAAAAGUCAAUUAAAAUAAUAAAAUUGAUUUACUUUCAAUAUUUAGUUGCAAUUAAUUAAGAUAAUUUUUUAUUUUGUCAUAAUUUAUGUUGAACCGAUAAAAUUUUGAGAGUUGAAUAGAACUUUUAUCUAUUUUUAAAAAAAGUAUUUUUACUUGUUAAUUAUUAUAAUUUAUAAUAAUUUGUACGUAUUUUAAAAUAAUAUAUUUACUCCUUGUGUCUCCAUUUAUAUGGUUUCAAUACAAUUUUGAGAAUCAACUAAAAUUUUUAUAUAUUUUUUAAAUAUUUUAAAUUGUUAAUUAUUAUAAUUUGCAGUAUUUUUUCUUUUAUCUCAAUUUAUGUGGCAUUGCUAAAAUAAUAAGAGUCAAUAAAUUUCUGUGUCUUUCAAAUAUUUUAAGUUAUUAAUUAUUGUGAUUCGUGAUGACAAAUUAGUUUUGAAUAUGAUAGCAAUUAAAUAAAUAAAAAAAAUUUACUUCUAAUAUGUAGUUAUAGUUAAUUAAUUUAAAUUUAAUAGAAUAUAUUAAAUACUUGAAUCAUUACGACGAAACAAUAAAAUUAUUAUAUAUUUAAGCAUGAUAUGUAAUUAAAUGAAAAUAAUUUUUUUUUGAUAAUUGCAUGAGAGGUGGUUGAAACCACCUCUUCUGCUGUAUAAUUGAAAUAUAAUGAUAAAAAUAGGUUGUGCGCACCUAAAAAAUGACCCUCACUUUCCACAAUUAUAUAUUCCGAGAAAAUUACAUAUAUAUCGUCUUUUGAUUUUAAUUUGUACAUAAUGCUCUGAUGUUUUUGCUUGUAUACCUUGCAAUCCAUUCUAUUUUACCAGUUCCAAAUUAAAAUUACACAAUUAUUAAGAAAAUCAUGAUCGAUAAAGUAGCUUUAUCAUUUAACCUCUCUUAAUUGUGUAUUGUUGUCAAUUUCAAUAUUAAUGGAUGACUAAUAUCAAAGCACUAUUUAUAUUCUUAAUAGUAUACUCUUUAUAACAUUUUUCAAGAAUAUUAAUAAUAAAAAGUAAUCAAUUAUACAAGGGAAUAAUGGUAAUCGACAUGCAAGCAAACUCUAAAAGAGGAGCCUGCAAUCCGGUCUGUUGAGCUUGAAUAUUAUGAAGUCAUCAUCGUGACACUUCUUCCACAAAUAAAUUAGAGUAAAAAGAAAAUUAGAAAACGUGUAAAAUUAAAAGAAAAAAAAAAGAAAUAAAAGAAAUUGCUUAAUCAAGUAAGAGCAGAUCAAGCUAUCAAACAUUAACUUAUACGUAAAUACCAUUGAUCACAUUUUGUAUUCCAUGCGAAAUUGGUUUUUAUGAAAAUGUUUCAUGUAAAACUGAACAAUGAAACUACAAAUCCUUGAUUUAUAUUAUAACUACAUAGUAAAAACUCAUAUCAAAACAUUAAAACUACAACUUGACAAAAGAUAAUUAACUAUUAGCGAUUAUUAAGGAAAAGCAAUUAAAAUUCAAUUAGUGGUAACUCACAACAAAUCUAUAGAAGGAUUUCCAGAUCACAAAUCCAUACCACAGAAAAUGCAAUCAUGAACCAGGAAUUUCAGAGAAGGUACAUGUUAAAGCUAAGCAAAAGCACUCAAAGAAAACAUUUUCAUAGGAAGCGAUUGAACUUCGAAAGGUAUGACACAAGCCACCAUAUCAUCAUCAGAACGAUAAUCAAUUUCAUUCACAACCAUAACUAGUUGUGUCCAAAGGUGUCCUAAGAUUGAUCUGUGUCAUCAUUUGACUUAUGGCAACCAAUAAACUAAGAAAAAUGUUGCAAAAAAAAAAAAAAAAAAAAUAUGUGCCACAAAUUAAAAACCAAAAGUAAAACUUGAAUUAAUAAACAGUAUGUGAUUCAGUUGCAACAUAAACAUAAUCACUAUUAUAAAAUCAGUCCAAGUGUUGGAAUUAAAAUAAUUGCUUCAUCAUCAUCACCAUUAGAACAAAAUAUAAAACGGCAGUUUCAUAAAUAGAAAAACAAGAAUAAAAGGUCAUUCAUCACCGAAAUCAGAAGAGGGAGCUUAGAUAUCCUCAUUAUGAUUUCAAUUUAAAAAACCACUAAAUAAGUUAGAAAAAUAAAUCAAAAGAAAAAAGAGUCACUCAGUUCAGCGGGGUAAUCGACACGCAAGCAAACUCUAAAAAUAGAGAAGCCUGCAAUCCGGUCUGUUGAGCUUGAAUAUUAUGGAGUCGUCACCGUGACCUUUUUUCCAUCAAAAAUCAAUUAGGGCAAGAAAAUGAAGAAAAAUUAAAAAGUAGAUCUGGGGGAGGAAUGAAAAUGCUCAGUGGUGGCUAGUUGUUAUUGGUUCGAUUCUGCCAGCAAGUUUCCUCAAUGUUACUCAGAAGAGGGAGCUUGGAAUCCUCAUUGCAAAAUCCACCUCCCCAAAAAUUGUUUACAAAAUCUAACAAAGAGAUUUAAAAAGCAUAUAUUAAAGAUGUAAAGAAGAGAUGGCUCAGGGAAGAAGGAGAUCGACAUGCAAAGACAGAAGCCCCUGACAAUCCGGUCUGUUUAGCUUGAUCUUUCAGAGUCCGCAUAGCCACUCUUCCUUCUACAUCAACUAAAAGUAUAAAUCAGAAAAUGCAAUAAAGAAAGGAAAAGGAAGAGGAGUUUGUUGCUGCUUUACUGUGUGAAUGGUGUGGGGGCG
RNAcentral lists this long non-coding RNA (27574 nucleotides) under Capsicum annuum. RNAcentral describes it as "long non-coding RNA (CANN_LNC002772)". The record is from RNAcentral. Lineage: Eukaryota; Viridiplantae; Streptophyta; Magnoliopsida; Solanales; Solanaceae.